Molecule: long non-coding RNA, 3965 nt
Filed under: Salvia miltiorrhiza (redroot sage)
Lineage: Eukaryota; Viridiplantae; Streptophyta; Magnoliopsida; Lamiales; Lamiaceae
Description: long non-coding RNA (SMIL_LNC008192)
Source: RNAcentral
ACCAUCAGGUAGCUCUCACCGCUGGUCACUUGACGGGUCACACACUGAUACUUUCCCAUGCAUCAACAAUCGCCUCAUCUCUCACCACUCUCUCUCACCGUUCUCUCUUCUUCAUUUUCUCUCUGCCACCGCCGCCAUUCUCCACCGUCCUCGCCACCACGUAGCUGUUCGCGCCGCCGUCCUUGCCACCAUCCCAUCCUCGCCGCUGAGGCCCCCUAUCCAUUUCUCUUUCGCGAACAGCAGCGGUCCGAGCCGCCGCCGCUGAUGUAUCCUUCUCAUCCUCGGCCGACGAUCAGCAGCAGAAACAAGUCAUCGUCGUUGUCUAUGGUGCUCUCUCUCCAACUCAUCCCUUGGUCGACGAGCAGUAGCAGUACCAGGUCGCCCUAAUUUCUCUCUCUAAUUUUGUGCAGCUGCAAAACCUAACUUUCCAGUUUGUUUCAACUCUGCAGCUGAGGGCAAUGCCACAAUUCUCGUAUGCCAUCGAUGUGCCCUACGACCACCCCUCCUUUCAACUCUCAAGUAUCCCUAAUCUCCACUCUUUUUUCUUAUUUCUCAUUAUACACCAAUUUUGGUCAUUUUUUUUUAUAAGUUUGAGUUAAUUUACUCUGCAAAUAUGUGAAAUAACCUUAUUACCUUAUGUUUCACUUUAUAAAUGUGUGAGAUAGUUUUUGUUGUUUGGUUUGUUAUUAUGAUUCCAUAUGCUUGCAACUUGCAUUGAUAUAUAAUGCUUUAAUGUUUGCGUCAAAUUACAAAAAGAUGACGAGUUUCUCUAUUUUCCCGUCUUUUUGUUCCUCUAAUGAAUGUGAUUAUAAUUAGUGAGGUAGAUUUCUUGAUCUUCUCCAAAUUAAAUAUGUUUGAAUCCAAUAGAGAUGACGAUGAUCUGCAGGAAGUAAGAUUUGGAGGCAUGAAUAUCGAUCCAUUAGCUUGGCCGGACCGUAAGUUUCCGGGUAGAUCAUUCUUUCCUGCUCAGGUAUGGUAUUGGCACCAAAUUAAUAUGGCAGGACUUGCCUCCUAUUUUUUUAAUCUUUGAUAAGAUAGAGAGUAUUAUUUGAUACGUCUCUCACCUGCAAAGGCAGAGCUUUUUCAACAAAGAAUGUCUAUAGCCAGUGACAUAUUAGCCUCUAGGACUUCUCCCUCCAAGGUUAGUUAGAUUGUUUAUUUAUUAAUUUUUUUUGUUGUUUGAGAAUCAGAUUGCUUCAAUGUUGUUUUGUUGAUCUGAAUCUGAAUCUGAAUUUGUAGUUUCUGGAAGUUUGAACUAGCGUGGCGGUUCAGCUUGAUUUAAGUGAGUAGGGAGGUUUUUAUUUUGGUUGAAGAUCUUUAUGCUUAACGGUUGUUGAAUUUUGUUGAUAUCUGUUUAUUUGGAACUGAGUUUGUUUCAAUUUACUUGCUUAGUUUAUAUCAUUGAGGUUUUUCCAUAUUUAUUGCUUGGGUUAGAUGCUAGCAAGAACUCAUACCUGUUAUCAUCAUUUGCAGUUUUGUCUUGUGGUACACCAAGGAGGAAUAUUGUUCAAUUACUUUUUCUUUCUUAGAGAAGCUUAGUAUUGGGUUAGUAUUUGGUUGAUGGGGAUUCUGGCCAAAAGUAAUGAUUAAGUUGGUAAUUAAGAUAACAUUUUCAAAGAUUGUAGAUAUAACAUUCAUUAUAUUAUUAUGCUUACUAAAAUAUGAAACUUUUAGGGGGUUUAUACAUGUAUUGAGCACCAAUGCACACAUUCUGAUAAACACCACAGAUCCAUUUUGGGGAAAAAACAAUACUAAGUUUCAUGCACAUUUUCAUCUAUACUUUUCUAGAGUUGGAGUUGUUAGCUAUUCUUAUAUAGAAUUAAGAUAGAUUAAAUAUGUUCAGGAUCAUAGAUAUCUUUAUCACUUGUCAGUAAAUCUUUAUUAUAGAAUUUAAGAAGUAUUUUGCUAGUUUUGCAUCUUUGACAGUAUGAUAUUGUUGUUGAUAGUUGUAUGAUUAAGUGGCUCGGGGAAUUACCAUAUUUGAUGUGUGACAGAUGUUAAUUUGAAAGUAGAUGUGAUGAGGACUGUAAUUCCCAUCAGCGCUGUGCUUAGCAACCUAAGCCUAUUUUAUCUUAUUAUUAUUAUUAUUAUUAUUAUUAUUAUUAUUAUUAUUAUUAUUAUUAUUAUUAUUAUUAUUAUUAUUAUUAUUAUUAUUAUUAUUAUUAUUAGACUAACAGCGCAGGUACGAUCGGAUAUCUUAGAUAAAAAGAGUAAGAAAUCCACCUAAGUAGAUGGAGUGAAGAAUGAUUGCACAAAGAAACCUUCCCACGCAGCCAAGGUGCCUUCCUGCGCAGCCAAGUAGCUUUCCCGUGCAGCCGCGCAGCCAAACCAGAGCAGCGCAGACCAAAGCAGAGCAGCGCAGACCAAAGCAGCGCGGCAGCGCUGCGCAGUCAGAGCAGCACCACCAAAGUGCCUUUCCUGCGCAGCUACGUAUGAUAGUUCAACUUCGGGAAUAAGACCAUUGUACUGAGUUUUGGGCCCAAUUGACUAGAUGAGUGGGCUUUUAGAAUUAGGGUUUGCUCACAAGCUAUAAAUAGCACAUCUAUUGGAAAACUAGGGGAUGAACUCAUUCAAGCAACAUAAUUGUAAUAUGUAACUCUCUCUCAAAGUAUAGUAAAACCAACGAAGAACCUCUCGUGGACGUAGGUCUUGAUGGCCGAACCACGUAAAUCCGUGUGUCAUUUAUCGCUUUCUAAUUUCUAGUUUAGGUGUUGGUGAUUCAGUGCUUCACCAACUGGCGCCGUCUGUGGGAAUAUUGAGCUAAGGCGUGAGAUUCAUGGUUUCCGGUUACUAUUCAUCGAGAAGGGAGAAGUACUGUUCAUCGAAGCAAAAUCACUGUUCAUCGCAAAAAGGGGAAAUGGGGGAUCUGGUCACUGUUCAUCAAAAAGAAAAAAAGGAAAAAAGGGAAGGGCUACCCACUCGAACUACACCACCACUGCGCAGGGACCACUACUGCGCGAGAAUCGCGCGCCGCCGCACACCACCGCCGGGUCUCGUUUUCUCCUGAUUUACGGCUAGUCUACACCGAAUCUCGUCGUCGCCAACAAGAAGCAAGGACUUCCAAUUUUGAAUCUGGUCGAGAUACCUUCGAUCCAAAUCUAGACUCCCAAUCUCUCUUGGGAUAAAUCUGAGCAAUCCGAAGUUGGAGAUCAGCGUUUCUCUUCUUCGAGGAUUCCGUGGCUGCGCAGUCUACAGUCAGGCGNAUAGAUUAAAUAUGUUCAGGAUCAUAGAUAUCUUUAUCACUUGUCAGUAAAUCUUUAUUAUAGAAUUUAAGAAGUAUUUUGCUAGUUUUGCAUCUUUGACAGUAUGAUAUUGUUGUUGAUAGUUGUAUGAUUAAGUGGCUCGGGGAAUUACCAUAUUUGAUGUGUGACAGAUGUUAAUUUGAAAGUAGAUGAAUGUUAAUGUGUCAGCAACUCUUCUAAAUAUUUGUUUUAUGUUUUCCCAUUGUGUAUGUGGGAUCUUAUUAAUUAGUUCUUGCAUUUUCAGGUUAAUGAUUCUAAAGACUCUGCAAUAAUAGAGCCAUGCAUGACAGUUUUUAGAAAUCUUAACUGCUCUCUUUAUGGAGAUUUUUAGGUUCAAGCAACGAAAGAGCAAGCCCAACUCUGGCUUAUUAAUAUAAGCUUGGUAACUUUGAGGUGAGGUGACCCUCAAAAGUGUCAUUAUGAUCCAUCCCUAUUGUGUCUGCUAACAGGGGUUUUCUUUAAAAUUUGUAGGCGGCAACUGCUAUUCAGAGAAGGUUGGAUCUCGAUGCUACCUGAGGAACUAUUUGGUGCUUCUUGGAUCUCUUUUAAUGCAUUUAUACUACCCAAAACUAAAGGGAAUCGGUUUUUAGGAGCAAGAUCUGAGACGGUUGGGAUAGAUGUUGAUGCUUCAGUUUGCGUCUGAAGAAUAUGAUCUUUCUUGUUUUCAUUAGGUUUCUGUAUCGUAGUUGCCUUCUUUCAUAUUCAUCCUCCAAUUUUUGGGAU